AGUGAACGCUGGCGGUAGGCCUAACACAUGCAAGUCGAACGGCAGCACAGUAAGAGCUUGCUCUUACGGGUGGCGAGUGGCGGACGGGUGAGGAAUACAUCGGAAUCUACUUUUUCGUGGGGGAUAACGUAGGGAAACUUACGCUAAUACCGCAUACGACCUACGGGUGAAAGCAGGGGAUCUUCGGACCUUGCGCGAUUGAAUGAGCCGAUGUCGGAUUAGCUAGUUGGCGGGGUAAAGGCCCACCAAGGCGACGAUCCGUAGCUGGUCUGAGAGGAUGACCAGCCCUACUGGAACUGGGACACGGUCCAGACUCCUACGGGAGGCAGCAGUAGGGAAUAUCGGACAAUGGGCGCAAGCCUGAUCCAGCCAUACCGCGUGGGUGAAGAAGGCCUUCGGGUGGUAAAGCCCUUUUGUUGGGAAAGAAAAGCAGCAGGUUAAUACCCCGCUGUUCUGACGGUACCCAAAGAAUAAGCACCGGCUAACUUCGUG
RNAcentral lists this ribosomal RNA (492 nucleotides) under uncultured bacterium. RNAcentral describes it as "partial 16S ribosomal RNA". It matches the Rfam family "Bacterial small subunit ribosomal RNA", at positions 29 to 507 of the family's 1533-position model. The record is from RNAcentral.